This is a long non-coding RNA of Erpetoichthys calabaricus (reedfish), 1734 nucleotides long. RefSeq lists it as uncharacterized. The record is from RefSeq and is a predicted model, not a curated record. The transcript is spliced from 5 exons. NCBI's taxonomy places the organism in Eukaryota, Metazoa, Chordata, Cladistia, Polypteriformes, Polypteridae.
UUGAAGCAGCGAGGUGGCCACGUGCAGAAGACUUAGGGUUUUUGUUUUUAAUUUUUUAAACAGAACAAGAAUUAGACUAACAUUUAUAUUUUUAUAUUGAACAACAGCCAUGCUUUGUGCAAAUCUACAUAACGUUUCCGAAUCAACCUCUGUUUUUGUUUUCAUCGUUGCAUUUGAAAAGGCGUCCCCAGGCCAUCUGCUGCUUUUCGCGAUAUGAAAUGUUACUAUGAAUUAAUGGACAACUUCAGCUUGGAAGAAUUCCUUUGCUGCAUAGAUGCUAUCAUAUAAACGCAUGGUGCCUGCAGCAAGGUCACGGACAAAGCACAAAGUGUUCCUCCCUCCAGUGGAGAUCACGCCAAGUAUCAACCACAAGAAACCUUUGACUUGAAGCUCCAUGACUGUGAUAGUUAAUGAAUUGGUGAUGUUGACAUCCGGCUGAAAAAGUACAUUUGAAAUCCUGAAUGGCCAUCUUAAGCUUAAAGCAGUUGUUCUGCUGUAUAGAUAAACUUGAGGCUUGAACCCCCUUCUGUCUGGAACUUCAAGAAGUGUUGGACUUCAAUUUCUAAAGUCUUCCACCGUGUGGUUUUUCAAUUGUGUAUCUAUUUGUUUUUGGUGCUGUGACCUGCUAAUUUUGUUUUGAUAGGCCUACUUUAAAAACCUUAAGUUGAUAUGGAUUACAGUGGUUUUUCAUGGGGAGACUUUCUGGUAGGAGAAAAUAUGUACUCCAGUACUGUGAGACACUGCUUUUAAGUGGCUAUAAUAUGGAUUGACACUGCUUUUUAGUUAGCAGUGAUAAAUUCCACUAGUGCUGGGAGGUAUACCGUUUCAUGCCGAAAACCAUUUAUUUUUGUUAUGAUAUGAAUUUUUCUUAUACCGCGAUACUGGUUUAAAUAGCCUAAACAGUGCUCGGAACAUGGCGCACCGGGAAACUGUUUAAGGGGGGACCUUUCACUGCUACACAGCUAAACACUUAUGCAAUGGAGUACAUGUGUUAGUGGAGGUAUUGUGCUGUGAAAAUGGACAGAGAACAUUCCGAAACUGAAGCAGCCGAUAAAGUUGAAUAUGAUGACACAGAAGAACUUUUGCCGAAAAAAGGAACUCUGUGUUGUCUGGAGAUAUUUUCGCUUUAAAAGGUCAGACGUGGGCCAAACAACUAUUUACUGCAAAUGCUGUUGAGCUAAAGUUGUCACCAGAGGCGGCAUCACGAGCAAUUUGCUGCACCACCUUAGCCGCAAACAGGCUUUGGAGUACCAUGAAUGUAUGGAACUAAGAUUGGCACCCUCCACGUCCUCGGGUAAAACUGAAACAGCUAGAGGAUGACACUCGAGUCAGACAUCACUUGUAGACGUGUUUGUUAGAGAUACUAGAUAUGACAAAAAAAGCAAGCAGUGGAUCGAGAUAACCAACGCCAUUACAAUCCAUAUAGCUAACGUGUCAGUGGACAGAGAUUAACAAAGUGUAGUUGGUUUACAAAAAAUAUUUACUAUUCCUUUUCUAAGCCAUGUUCAGUGCAAUACAACUUUUGACAAGCACCUCUGGAUAUUUUACUAUGUCUAAAUGCCUCUUUGGAUGGUUGAAAAUAUGUUGUCAAAAUUUAUAGUUGUUUGCAAAAUUUGUUCAAUAAAAAAGGUUCUAUAUUUUGACUGCAACUGACAUGCAAUGUGAUUCCUUCUCCAUUAGUGCCACCCCCUUGAAAACUAUCACUUUAUGGGGCCAUGCAAACCUGUAUUAAUA